ACGGAGUGAUCUUUCCCUCUUAUGAAAGCCGGUAUCUCACUUUCGAAAGAGAGUCUCGACGUGGCGGUGUAGACCUAGCUCCAUAGCUGGGCUAGUCACUGGCUAGAGGGCGACCGACCUACCGGACUCUCGACGUGGAGGUGUAGACCUAGCUCCAUAGCUGGGCUAGUCAAUGGCUAGAGGGCGACCGACCUACCGGACCGGAGGCUGCCGAGAAUGUUAUGUAAAAAGGACCAAGGAGGAUCCUAUCCUAAAGGAGAAGGAGUAGGAGUAGGAGCUAGCUUUAGGGGCGGAAUCGAAUGAUUACGAGAUAAAAAAUGAGACAAAGGAGAGCACUUAGACAAUUCACUUUGAAUACUAGGAAGUCUGCUGGUAGGAAUUCCUCAGGGCGUAUUACGGUUUUUCACCGAGGGGGUAGAUCGAAGCGAUUGCAGCGAAGAAUUGAUCUGAAACGAAGCACUUCGUCAAUAGGCAUUGUAGAAAGGAUAGAAUAUGAGCCUAAUCGUUCUUCUCGAAUCGCUCCAGUGCGAUGGACCGGGGGGGGGGGUUCCGGCAGAGAAAAUGUAAGACGAUAGAAGAGUUCGCUCCGCCGCGUAAGAUCCUUGAAUCAACCACGACUACCAUCUGAGGUCCAUUUUCGUUCUCUUCCCUGCCCGGGAAGGGGGAUCAAUGAAAGGUAGCUUGCUUCUCUCCUGGACGGAUGGCAACUUAUGUAGUGGUCGGCUUUCCUACCAGAAUGCCUUUUUGGUCGAAGAGCCCCUUUUUUACUAGUGAGGACGCAGGAAGCAAAAAAACUUGCGAGAAGGCCGUUUUCUUCUCUGCCCUCUCCUCUCCAAAGGCCAAGGGAGAGACUGCAUCCCUUUCCUUCGGUAGCUCUUUUGGUUUCCCAAGGAUAGCGGUAGCUGGGGCAAAGCCCGCUUUCUUCGCUCCGCGAAUGAGAGAGAAAGUCAGAGGAAAAAACACGUUCUCUCUUUGCGAGAUCCGAAAGUGGAGAACGCAUAGCAUUCUAUGGGUACAUAGGAUCAAACGUAAAGCAGCGCUCUCUUGGCAGAGUUUUAGGCGGCAAGAGACUUUAGGGCUUGUUGGAGCUUCUGAGCGUAACGAAUCGAAGCCGAAGACGGAUCAAGGUAGCUUGCCUGCCAAGCCGAUAGGCGAAGGGCUGAAGGAUGGAACGUGCAAAGUAGAUCGUGCACCUGUCGUGUGACCCGUUGGUCCUAAGCAAUGUCUUGCGCGAAGCGACCCACUUAGAAAAAGCUCCCCUUUAUGUUAGGGGAGCACUAAAAUGCAACUUCGAUCGGAUGCGGGUAUCAAAUCCUGCCGCUGAGAUGUCCAGCGGAUUUCUGGGCCUUGACGAAUGGCCGGCCACCUUUUACUCUAGAAGAGCAAAAGGCCCAGGGCAUAGUAGGAUGAACCAAUGUGAAUGAGUGUAAGCUUCGUUGCCCGAACACGAUUGGUGCUGACCACACUAGGUGCUACCGUGGUAGCAAGAGAGGUCAGGCGGUGACAAUUGAGAGGUUGUCACUGAGCAUUCCUAGUCACACGGGAAAAGAGGUCAAAUGGCAAGGCCAUACGCCCGUUUGGCUCCUCGCGGAGUAUAGCUCACAUCCAAACAUCUGAUUGGGGAACGGGGCUACACCCAUGAAGCUCCGGCGGUAAGGGAAGGCCUGCCAGGCCGUAUGCCCAUGGGUGCAGGAUUCUUCGAUAAAGCGCGGGCUGACUCGGAGACCUGGGACCUUGUCUUAGUAAUGAAUGAAGGGAAGCUCUUCGAGCUUUCUCCGCCAGCGGCAUAUGUAGUCGUCGGCCUUAGAAAGCUCGCUAAGCCUCGCUUCCCUCUCCCCUUCACUUAUUAGUUAAGUGGAAAAUUGUCGUCGGCAUUCUAUAAGCGACUUGACCGAGUCUACGAAGCUUUGCUUUUCUUGUAGACGGCCCGUAAUGCCUCCCUUCAUUUGCUUGCCUCCUUUCAGCUUAAAAUGCCUAAUGCCUAUUAUUUAGUGCUAGAAGCUAACCGCCAUAAACUCACCCUUCGGGUCUCGCAUCCAGCGCAGGAGGCCAAGCAUUCUGCCAGACGUCCCGGCCUGGGAGCCCCGUUCGCCUUUGGUACUUCAGUAGAUCUUCUAAAAUAAAAAGCGCUACUUCAGCCUUAACUACAACUACAUUACGCAAGCCCCGCCGAUACCUACCUAUAGAGUCAAAUUAAAAUCAAAAAGUACCAGUGACGGCGACUUUCUAGGUUUAUGGAUUCAGUCAGCUAAACUCCAUCAAACUCCUCAAUCAAUAUCAACAAGAUGUCAAAAAGUACCAGUGAUGUCGACUUUCUAGGCAUAUGGAUUCAGUCAGCUAAUCUCCAUCAAACUCCUCAAUCAAUAUCAACAAGAUGUCAUGACCGCUUAGGCUUGGUUUACUUUGGUUCAAAUGUAAACUAAAAUAAGCGGCAUUUAUUCAAACAAAGGGAACCGAAGGUUUCCUUGUUUAGUAGUACGAAAAUAGUUCUACUAUUAAGAUGUUUAAUAUUAAUAAGAAAUAUUCAGUGUUGUAGCUGUAGAACAGAAUGUCGUUCGCCUUUACUUUGACUUUCUGAGAAGGACUUAAGUAGCUAAGUUUCCAAAGGUGAACACCCCCUGUCCUUUAUAGUAUAGACGUAAAGGGCUUCUCAGAAAAGUCAGGAAGAAGGCAUUCGAAAGACCGACCACUAUCUCAUAGGCAUUCUGGUGGUAAAACCGACGACUACAAGGCUCUAUACCAAGUCAUGAGCGAUAGCGAAGACAAGCCGCCGUCUAUAGGUGAAGGGAUGAAAGCCUGAUGAAGGCCUCUGCUACAGUAAGAAAAAAAGUACGUUGAGGUUUCGAAGUCACUUAGCCGUAUACUAUACAAAGGGAAAGGCGUCGGUACGGAGUCACGUCAGCUGUGGAUAUAGACUAGGCUAUAAGGAACGGAGUCAACAACUAUGGACCGAGACUACACUAAGGAACAAGGAAGCUUGACUGAGAAAAGAAGUCAAGGAACAAAGCUGCUUUUCUAAUAGCCCCGUUGAAUAGGAGGGCGAAGGCUUUUUGAAAAAGUCUUUUUUAUCUUGUAAAUGCAUUUUUUUCUAUUUAGAGAGUGGGGGCUUCAUGUUCUUAGGAAGAGCCGUACGAGACAGCUCACGUACGGUUCGGGAGCAGAGCCCCUGCGCAGGGGCUUAGGUCAACACUUAUAUAAUAGCCAGUCAUCAAUUGGAAGCGGGCAAGAUGGUGAUGAAUUGCGAUUGGUCUAAUGCUUCGACUAGCGACUUAUUGCGACCUGCCCAGAAUGCCCGUACAGACUAAGACCUUAUUCACACAGCGAAGAAAGGCCGAGUGGAAUGGGGCAGGCAGCUGGCUGCUUCUUUGCCAUGCGCUUUGCUUCGCUUUAUUUUAUAAAAGAAAGAGACCAAAUGAGAGUGAAAGGCAAGGGCAAGCGAUAGAAAGGAGAGUCCCUCGCGCGAACUACUACUACUAGAAAAUGGUGAGACCAUUAGUGAAAGAAGGACCAAGGAGGAUCCUAUCCUAAAGGAGAAGGAGGAGUAGGAGGAGUCAGUUUUCUUUGAAGAUCGAGGAACGUAGUGUCGGACAAUUAUGCCAUUCGGAAGAAGUCUUCUACAGAAGAAAAGCCUGUUACGAGUAAGUGGAGAGGAAAGAUCUCCAGGGAUUCUUAUCUCGUGCCAUUCGGAAGAAGUAUUCUACAGAAGAAAAGCCUGUUACGAGUAAUUGGAGAGGAAAGAUCUCCAGGGAUUCUUAUCUCAUUCCAUUCCAGUGGCUCAACCAGUAACCAAUGGCGAAAACUAAAAAAUCCAUGGUUUCCAGGUAGAACCCUAUUUCGCCCAAGUUAUUUCGGUACCGGAAAAAAAAAUCGGUUUUUCGCACAGCUUGCUCAUAGUGUAGGUCCCACUUGUAUAUCGUAUUUGGCCGAAGAAGCAUCGGACAGGUUGGAGUUCGUACCUUCUUGGGACUCCAUGGACCAAGAUCUGCUUUUAUUAUAUGGUCAAUACCAAUCUACUUUAGUAGAUCAUGUGGAUGUAGAAAAAGCUUCUAAUUUGGAUGAAACAGAAACAUCUCUUUUCCAUUACUAUUUACCCAGUUCAUAUCUUUGUUUCGUGUGUUCCUGGGAGGAAUUCGAUCUCGGAAUACCACCUAAAUAACUACGGCCAGAGAGUCAAAUAGGUCGGGAAGAAAGAGUCUGAGGUCGGGUCGGACGACAUACAUCUUGGUUGGUUCCACCACCACU
RNAcentral lists this long non-coding RNA (4242 nucleotides) under Nicotiana benthamiana. Its description in RNAcentral is "long non-coding RNA (NBEN_LNC004757)". The record is from RNAcentral. Lineage: Eukaryota; Viridiplantae; Streptophyta; Magnoliopsida; Solanales; Solanaceae.